GUGAGGAAUCUUCCACAAUGGGCGAAAGCCUGAUGGAGCAACGCCGCGUGAAGGAUGAAGGUCUUCGGAUUGUAAACUUCUUUUAUGAGUGAAGAAUAUGACGGUAACUCAUGAAUAAGCACCGGCUAACUACGUGCCAGCAGCCGCGGUCAUACGUAGGGUGCAAGCAUUAUCCGGAGUGACUGGGCGUAAAGAGUUGCGUAGGCGGUUAUGUAAGCGAAUAGUGAAACCUGGUGGCUCAACCACACAGACUAUUAUUCGAACUGCAUAACUCGAGAAUGGUAGAGGUAACUGGAAUUUCUUGUGUAGGAGUGAAAUCCGUAGAUAUAAGAAGGAACACCAAUGGCGUAGGCAGGUUACUGGGCCAUUUCUGACGCUAAGGCACGAAAGCGUGGGGAGCGAACCGGAUUAGAAACCCGGUAGUCC
RNAcentral lists this ribosomal RNA (426 nucleotides) under uncultured bacterium. RNAcentral's name for it is "partial 16S ribosomal RNA". It matches the Rfam family "Bacterial small subunit ribosomal RNA", at positions 354 to 796 of the family's 1533-position model. The record is from RNAcentral.